AGUAAAAGUCGUAACAAGGUUUCCGUAGGUGAACCUGCGGAAGGAUCAUUAUCGUAACUCCGAGGAGGGGCCUGGUCAAGCCCUGCUCCGGUCCAAACGGGCCGUGCAGCGGGCGACCGACCCCGACUCACCAAACCAAAAACCCACUUGUGCUCCUUUACGGUCGGAGGGCGACGAUGCCGGCGAAAGCCGCUCGCGCCCGAAGCCGCAUUCACAACAAAACCACUUGUUCAAAAGAAUGCUCAGCGGGCCUUGUACCGCCUAAAACUGAAACAACUUUCAACAACGGAUCUCUUGGCUCUCGCAUCGAUGAAGAACGCGGCGAAAUGCGAUAAGUAAUGUGAAUUGCAGAAUUCAGUGAAUCAUCGAAUCUUUGAACGCACCUUGCGCUCCUUGGUAUUCCGAGGAGCAUGCCUGUUUGAGUGUCUUGAAGUCAUCAACCCCUUCCAGUUUUUCUGCCGGAGGUGGGUUGGACUUGGGGGCCUGCUGCCGUGAGGCGGCUCCCCUCAAAUGCAUCGGUUGGACCUGUGGGUCGGACUCGGCCAGGCGUUGUACCAUCCUCGUUUGUAAACGAGAUGUUCCCCCUCUAGGUGUCCUCCCAUGACCUUGCCUUUUGAGUGGCGGUCAAUGCACCAUUCGAAAUCU
This 645-nucleotide ribosomal RNA is filed under the name uncultured fungus. Its description in RNAcentral is "eukaryotic LSU rRNA". The stretch from base 275 to 428 matches the Rfam family "5.8S ribosomal RNA". Lineage: Eukaryota; Fungi. The record is from RNAcentral.